AAUGAACGCUGGCGGCAUGCCUUACACAUGCAAGUCGAACGGCAGCAUGACCUAGCUUGCUAGGUUGAUGGCGAGUGGCGAACGGGUGAGUAAUGCAUCGGAACGUGCCUUUUAGUGGGGGAUAACGUAGCGAAAGUUACGCUAAUACCGCAUAUUCUCUGAGGAGGAAAGCAGGGGACCUUCGGGCCUUGCGCUAGAAGAGCGGCCGAUGUCGGAUUAGCUAGUUGGUGAGGUAAAGGCUCACCAAGGCAACGAUCCGUAGCGGGUCUGAGAGGGUGAUCCGCCACACUGGGACUGAGACACGGCCCAGACUCCUACGGGAGGCAGCAGUGGGGAAUUUUGGACAAUGGGCGCAAGCCUGAUCCAGCCAUGCCGCGUGAGUGAAGAAGGCCUUCGGGUUGUAAAGCUCUUUCGGCUGGGAAGAAAUCGCACCCUCUAAUACAGGGUGUGGAUGACGGUACCAGCAUAAGAAGCACCGGCUAACUACGUG
This 490-nucleotide ribosomal RNA is filed under the name uncultured bacterium. Its description in RNAcentral is "partial 16S ribosomal RNA". It matches the Rfam family "Bacterial small subunit ribosomal RNA", at positions 29 to 507 of the family's 1533-position model. The record is from RNAcentral.